AUUGAACGCUAGCGGGAUGCUUUACACAUGCAAGUCGAACGAGUGGAGGACGGGUGAGUAAUAUAUCGGAACGUGCCCAGUAGCGGGGGAUAACUACUAAAAAGAGUGGCUAAUAACGCAUACUGUGAGAGAGGCCGAUAUCGGAUUAGCUAGUUGGUGGGGUAAAGGCUCACCAAGGCACCGAUCCGUAUCUGGUUUGAGCGGAAGACCAGCCACACUGGGACUGAGACACGGCCCAGACUCCUACGGGAGGCAUCAGUGGGGAAUUUUGUACAAUGGGGGAAACCCUGAUCCAGCCAUCCCGCGUGUAUGAGAAGGCCUUCGGGUUGUAAAGUACUUUUGGCAGAGAAGCGGUAUCUGCAGAAUAAGCACCGGCUAACUACGUGCCAGCCGCCGCGGUAAUUC
Molecule: ribosomal RNA, 405 nt
Filed under: uncultured bacterium
Lineage: Bacteria
Description: partial 16S ribosomal RNA
Rfam family: Bacterial small subunit ribosomal RNA
Source: RNAcentral